UUUUUUCCUAAAAUAUCACAUUUAAUCAGACGACGAAAGGCUGCAAUGAGCCUUGGGUCCAUGAGAGGACAGAGCCAACUGAGAGACCAUUAUUGAGUUUUUUUUUCUUCUUCUUCUCUUCUUCUUCGUAUGUAAGGUCUGACGAUUGAGAGUCAUGCAUGAAUUGAUAGAGAGAUUGUAUAAAAAUGGUGCAAGUGCAUAGAUGCAAAGUCAACGGACGAGAAUGAGCCUUUGUUAAUUAUUGAGAUGGUCGUUGACUUCGUUAUUGUACGUUGUUAUAACUUUUAAUGUAUUUUAAGUUGUAUGCCUUGUAUAUAUAUAUUCAUCUUGCAUAGUUUUGUUGUUUUCUUUAUAUAUAGAGUAGUUUGUUUUUUCCUUCAUUUUGCAUAGAUGAAUUCAUUAGAGUUGUACACAUGGUUUUGGGUGCAAGUUACUACAAUAUAGAUUCGAGUAUUCGACCUUUUCGGAAGUUUUAUUUUUUAUCCUGUAAAUGAACGAGCCACUAUAAAGCCUUUGGUUAGAAGGGUUUAAUUCGUUCAAAGGGGGAAAACAGAAUUAAAACAUUUUAAAGAUAAAUGUUUUAUUAUGAUAUUGGAACAUAACAUCACAAUCUUUGCAGAAACAAAAGAGAAAGAAGGACGACACGAGAGAAAUAAAUAAACUCAAGAGAGAAACACAAUCCGAAGAUGAAUUGAAACGCAUCUCAGAAGAGGAAAGACAAAGCACC
RNAcentral lists this long non-coding RNA (727 nucleotides) under Capsella rubella. RNAcentral describes it as "long non-coding RNA (CRUB_LNC001960)". The record is from RNAcentral. Lineage: Eukaryota; Viridiplantae; Streptophyta; Magnoliopsida; Brassicales; Brassicaceae.